GACGAACGCUGGCGGCGUGCUUAACACAUGCAAGUCGAGCGGUAAGGCCCUUUCGGGGGUACACGAGCGGCGAACGGGUGAGUAACACGUGGGUGACCUGCCCUCAGCUCUGGGAUAAGCCUGGGAAACCGGGUCUAAUACCGGAUAUGACUCCAUGACGCAUGUUGUGGGGUGGAAAGCCUUGUGCGGCUGAGGAUGGGCCCGCGGCCUAUCAGCUUGUUGGUGGGGUGAUGGCCUACCAAGGCGACGACGGGUAGCCGGCCUGAGAGGGCGACCGGCCACACUGGGACUGAGACACGGCCCAGACUCCUACGGGAGGCAGCAGUGGGGAAUCUUGCGCAAUGGGCGAGAGCCUGACGCAGCGACGCCGCGUGAGGGAUGACGGCCU
RNAcentral lists this ribosomal RNA (388 nucleotides) under uncultured bacterium. Its description in RNAcentral is "bacterial SSU rRNA". It matches the Rfam family "Bacterial small subunit ribosomal RNA", at positions 28 to 417 of the family's 1533-position model. The record is from RNAcentral.